GAGUUUGAUCAUGGCUCAGAUUGAACGCUGGCGGCAUGCUUUACACAUGCAAGUCGAACGGCAGCACGGGGGCAACCCUGGUGGCGAGUGGCGAACGGGUGAGUAAUACAUCGGAACGUAUCCUUAAGUGGGGGAUAACGCACCGAAAGGUGUGCUAAUACCGCAUAAUCUCCGAGGAGAAAAGCAGGGGAUCGCAAGACCUUGCGCUUUUGGAGCGGCCGAUGUCUGAUAAGCUAGUUGGUGAGGUAAAGGCUUACCAAGGCGUCGAUCAGUAGCUGGUCUGAGAGGACGACCAGCCACACUGGGACUGAGACACGGCCCAGACUCCUACGGGAGGCAGCAGUGGGGAAUUUUGGACAAUGGGGGAAACCCUGAUCCAGCCAUGCCGCGUGAGUGAAGAAGGCCUUCGGGUUGUAAAGCUCUUUCAGCCGGAACGAAACGGUUACGGUUAAUACCCGUGACUACUGACGGUACCGGAAGAAGAAGCACCGGCUAACUACGUGCCAGCAGCCGCGGUAAUACGUAGGGUGCAAGCGUUAAUCGGAAUUACUGGGCGUAAAGCGUGCGCAGGCGGUUUCGUAAGUCAGAUGUGAAAUCCCCGGGCUUAACCUGGGAACUGCGUUUGAAACUACAAGGCUAGAGUGUGGCAGAGGGGGGUGGAAUUCCACGUGUAGCAGUGAAAUGCGUAGAGAUGUGGAGGAACACCGAUGGCGAAAGGCAGCCCCCUGGGUUGACACUGACGCUCAGCACGAAAGCGUGGGGAGCAAACAGGAUUAGAUACCCUGGUAGUCCACGCCCUAAACGAUGUCAACUAGUUGUCGGGUCUUAACGGACUUGGUAACGCAGCUAACGCGUGAAGUUGACCGCCUGGGGGAGUACGGUCGCAAGAUUAAAACUCAA
Molecule: ribosomal RNA, 900 nt
Filed under: uncultured Nitrosospira sp.
Lineage: Bacteria; Pseudomonadati; Pseudomonadota; Betaproteobacteria; Nitrosomonadales; Nitrosomonadaceae
Description: bacterial SSU rRNA
Rfam family: Bacterial small subunit ribosomal RNA
Source: RNAcentral